RNAcentral lists this ribosomal RNA (492 nucleotides) under uncultured bacterium. RNAcentral describes it as "partial 16S ribosomal RNA". It matches the Rfam family "Bacterial small subunit ribosomal RNA", at positions 29 to 507 of the family's 1533-position model. The record is from RNAcentral.
AGUGAACGCUGGCGGUAGGCCUAACACAUGCAAGUCGAACGGCAGCACAGUAAGAGCUUGCUCUUACGGGUGGCGAGUGGCGGACGGGUGAGGAAUACAUCGGAAUCUACUUUUUCGUGGGGGAUAACGUAGGGAAACUUACGCUAAUACCGCAUACGACCUACGGGUGAAAGCAGGAGAUCUUCGGACCUUGCGCGAUUGAAUGAGCCGAUGUCGGAUUAGCUAGUUGGCGGGGUAAAGGCCCACCAAGGCGACGAUCCAUAGCUGGUCUGAGAGGAUGAUCAGCCACACUGGAACUGAGACACGGUCCAGACUCCUACGGGAGGCAGCAGUGGGGAAUAUUGGACAAUGGGCGCAAGCCUGAUCCAGCCAUACCGCGUGGGUGAAGAAGGCCUUCGGGUUGUAAAGCCCUUUUGUUGGGAAAGAAAAGCAGCAGGUUAAUACCCCGCUGUUCUGACGGUACCCAAAGAAUAAGCACCGGCUAACUUCGUG